RNAcentral lists this ribosomal RNA (459 nucleotides) under uncultured bacterium. RNAcentral's name for it is "partial 16S ribosomal RNA". It matches the Rfam family "Bacterial small subunit ribosomal RNA", at positions 338 to 795 of the family's 1533-position model. The record is from RNAcentral.
CCUACGGGGGGCUGCAGUGAGGAAUAUUGGUCAAUGGACGAGAGUCUGAACCAGCCAAGUAGCGUGAAGGAUGACUGCCCUAUGGGUUGUAAACUUCUUUUAUAAAGGAAUAAAACGAGGCACGUGUGCCUUUUUGCAUGUACUUUAUGAAUAAGGAUCGGCUAACUCCGUGCCAGCAGCCGCGGUAAUACGGAGGAUCCGAGCGUUAUCCGGAUUUAUUGGGUUUAAAGGGAGCGUAGAUGGGUUGUUAAGUCAGUUGUGAAAGUUUGCGGCUCAACCGUAAAAUUGCAAUUGAUACUGGCAGUCGUGAGUACAGUUGAGGUAGGCGGAAUUCGUGGUGUAGCGGUGAAAUGCUUAGAUAUCACGAAGAACCCCGAUUGCGAAGGCAGCUUACUAAACUGGGACUGACAUUGAUGCUCGAAAGUGUGGGUAUCAAACAGGAUUAAUACCCCUGUAGUC